RNAcentral lists this ribosomal RNA (560 nucleotides) under Yersinia sp. (in: enterobacteria). Its description in RNAcentral is "bacterial SSU rRNA". It matches the Rfam family "Bacterial small subunit ribosomal RNA", at positions 137 to 692 of the family's 1533-position model. Lineage: Bacteria; Pseudomonadati; Pseudomonadota; Gammaproteobacteria; Enterobacterales; Yersiniaceae. The record is from RNAcentral.
AGGGGGAUAACUACUGGAAACGGUAGCUAAUACCGCAUGACCUCGAAAGAGCAAAGUGGGGGACCUUCGGGCCUCACGCCAUCGGAUGUGCCCAGAUGGGAUUAGCUAGUAGGUGAGGUAAUGGCUCACCUAGGCGACGAUCCCUAGCUGGUCUGAGAGGAUGACCAGCCACACUGGAACUGAGACACGGUCCAGACUCCUACGGGAGGCAGCAGUGGGGAAUAUUGCACAAUGGGCGCAAGCCUGAUGCAGCCAUGCCGCGUGUGUGAAGAAGGCCUUCGGGUUGUAAAGCACUUUCAGCGAGGAGGAAGGCGUUAAGGUUAAUAACCUUNGCGAUUGACGUUACUCGCAGAAGAAGCACCGGCUAACUCCGUGCCAGCAGCCGCGGUAAUACGGAGGGUGCAAGCGUUAAUCGGAAUUACUGGGCGUAAAGCGCACGCAGGCGGUUUGUUAAGUCAGAUGUGAAAUCCCCGAGCUUAACUUGGGAACUGCAUUUGAAACUGGCAAGCUAGAGUCUUGUAGAGGGGGGUAGAAUUCCAGGUGUAGCGGUGAAAUGCGUA